This 845-nucleotide long non-coding RNA is filed under the name Mustela putorius furo (domestic ferret). RNAcentral's name for it is "lncRNA (ENSMPUG00000029447.1)". Lineage: Eukaryota; Metazoa; Chordata; Mammalia; Carnivora; Mustelidae. The record is from RNAcentral.
CUUUGCCCCAGGUGGAAUUGCACAGCCCUUACCAGGAGCCGGGCUGAGUAAUCCGCUUGGGUUUACUUUCAGGAGCUUUUAAUCCUUGAGCGCUUUCCGUAGAGUUCCGGAGGACGGGAAUGAAAGUGGCAGCCUCCCAGUCUCCAGCUGGGAGGAGCCGAGAGCUCAGGGUCCCGCUCCUCAGUGCGCCCUCAGAGAAAAGCGCCCAACCGCCCCCGUCUCCCUGGCCUCUGGUUGCACUCAACCACUCGCACUUGGAGAAAAGAGCCCGGUCGCUUCUGUCUCGGUGGCCUCAGGCCACACUCUGAGCUCACCCCGCCUGCGACCAGUUCAAGUGAGAAGACACCAUACCUCAAUGCGGGAUUAAAUCAUUUUUUGGAAUUUUAGAUUCUUCCUCAGCCAAGAAAAUGUGUUCGUAUUUAUUGUUGCGGAAUUUUUCCUCCCUCCAGAAUACUACAUGAAGCCCCACUCCUGUUUCCUUGGGUAGUAACAUCAUGACAUGAUGUCCCAGUGUACUCAAUUAGAUGAAUGACUGGAGGUGCAGACAGAGCACAGCUAUGUGCCUGCUGGCACAGUCCAGGGUUGGCCUGCCACCGAGAAACCCGAGGGCACAGAACAAUGCAGCAAUGUUCUCUAAGUGUUGUGCUGUUUGGAUAAUGGACAAGUUCAAGCUGUUUCAUGACUCAGCUGUGCCCAACUUCCCCAAGUCACAAAAUCCAGAUAUGGGAAGGACUUCAGGACAGGGUGUAGAAGGCCUGGAUUCUGAUUCUAUGCCACCACAAGCCUUGAGUGUGUCACUUAAAUGCCAAAUCUCACCUUAUACCUUUGGAAAACUCAUGGUCUAG